RNAcentral lists this transfer RNA (65 nucleotides) under Bombus lapidarius. RNAcentral describes it as "tRNA-Phe". Lineage: Eukaryota; Metazoa; Arthropoda; Insecta; Hymenoptera; Apidae. The record is from RNAcentral.
AUUUAAAUAGCUUAUAUAUAGAGUAUAAUAUUGAAAAUAUUAAGGAAAUUAAUGAUUUUUAAAUA